UUGACCUCAGAUCAGGUAGGAAUACCCGCUGAACUUAAGCAUAUCAAUAAGCGGAGGAAAAGAAACCAACAGGGAUUGCCCUAGUAACGGCGAGUGAAGCGGCAACAGCUCAAAUUUGAAAUCUGGCGCAAGCCCGAGUUGUAAUUUGUAGAGGAUGUUUCUGGCGAAGUGCCUUCCGAGUUCCCUGGAACGGGACGCCAUAGAGGGUGAGAGCCCCGUACGGUUGGAUGCCUAGCCUCUGUGAAACUCCUUCGACGAGUCGAGUAGUUUGGGAAUGCUGCUCUAAAUGGGAGGUAUACGUCUUCUAAAGCUAAAUACCGGCCAGAGACCGAUAGCGCACAAGUAGAGUGAUCGAAAGAUGAAAAGCACUUUGAAAAGAGGGUUAAAAAGUACGUGAAAUUGUUGAAAGGGAAGCGUUCAUGACCAGACUUGGGCAGGUUGAUCAUCCGUGGUUCUCCGCGGUGCACUCUGCCUGCCCAGGCCAGCAUCAGUUCGCCCCGGGGGAUAAAGGUUUCGGGAAUGUGGCUCCUCCGGGAGUGUUAUAGCCCGUUGCGCAAUACCCUGGGGCGGACUGAGGUUCGCGCUCCGCAAGG
Molecule: ribosomal RNA, 593 nt
Filed under: Clonostachys miodochialis
Lineage: Eukaryota; Fungi; Ascomycota; Sordariomycetes; Hypocreales; Bionectriaceae
Description: eukaryotic LSU rRNA
Rfam family: Eukaryotic large subunit ribosomal RNA
Source: RNAcentral